RNAcentral lists this transfer RNA (65 nucleotides) under Dipodomys ordii (Ord's kangaroo rat). It matches the Rfam family "tRNA". From Rfam's summary of the family: Transfer RNA (tRNA) molecules are approximately 80 nucleotides in length. Their secondary structure includes four short double-helical elements and three loops (D, anti-codon, and T loops). The record is from Rfam by way of RNAcentral. Lineage: Eukaryota; Metazoa; Chordata; Mammalia; Rodentia; Heteromyidae.
GGUAGCUCAGUGGUAGAGCACUUGCCUUGCAUGCACGAGGCCCUGGGUUCGAUUCCUCAGUACCA